Bombus terrestris (buff-tailed bumblebee) is the source of this 501-nucleotide long non-coding RNA. RefSeq lists it as uncharacterized. The transcript is spliced from 3 exons. The record is from RefSeq and is a predicted model, not a curated record. NCBI's taxonomy places the organism in Eukaryota, Metazoa, Arthropoda, Insecta, Hymenoptera, Apidae.
CUAAUAUAAGUAUGAAACCGAAUACGAAAAAUACAAAAUCCAAACUGAUGAAAAAAGGAUCAAGAAUUUGAAGAAAUAUUUGGGAAAAAUAGCAUCAGAAUGGUACCAAGCAAAUCUGCUGAAGGAUGAAGAAUGCAACUGGGAAAAUUGGAAGGUUCAUUCACUGAAUAUGUCAUAAAAAAGGAAUGAUUAAUAUUGGAAGUAAGGAGGAAGACUUCUGAAGAGACAUGGAUAAAUCUAAUUGUUAUUGGAUUACCCAUACACAUUCAAGAUAAAAUCGAUAAAGAAACAGUACAAUCAACAAAUGGCUUAAUCAGAUUCUUGGGGCAAUAUCAGACAAAGGGAAGAAAAACACAAGGGAGUAACACAAGAUUGGACAGAAAGCCAGAGCCACUGCCCAAGAAACAACCUUGUGUGAUUUAUGAAGCACUGAAUUUCCCAGACCGAUACCCAGUAAUGACAUCCAAAGAAAUUGAAGAGUAUACGAGGAAAAGGAACAUU